CUACGGGUGGCAGCAGUGAGGAAUAUUGCACAAUGGGGGGAACCCUGAUGCAGCAACGCCGCGUGUGUGAAGAAGGCCUGCGGGUUGUAAAGCACUUUCGGUUGGGAGGACUGCUUCUAGCACUAAUAUUGUUGGAAGUUGACGUUACCUUCAGAAGAAGCACCGGCUAACUCCGUGCCAGCAGCCGCGGGUAAUACGGAGGGUGCAAGCGUUAAUCGGAAUUACUGGGCGUAAAGCGCGCGUAGGCGGCUAGAUCAGUCGGGUGUGAAAGCCCCGGGCUUAACCUGGGAACUGCAUCCGAUACUGGCUAGCUUGAGUACAGGAGAGGAGAGUGGAAUUCCACAUGUAGCGGUGAAAUGCGUAGAUAUGUGGAGGAACACCAAUGGCGAAGGCAGCUCUCUGGCCUGAUACUGACGCUGAGGUGCGAAAGCGUGGGGAGCAAACAGGAUUAGAUACCCCAGUAGUC
This 466-nucleotide ribosomal RNA is filed under the name uncultured bacterium. RNAcentral's name for it is "partial 16S ribosomal RNA". It matches the Rfam family "Bacterial small subunit ribosomal RNA", at positions 339 to 795 of the family's 1533-position model. The record is from RNAcentral.